CCUACGGGAGGCAGCAGUGGGGAAUUUUGGACAAUGGGCGCAAGCCUGAUCCAGCAAUGCCGCGUGCAGGAUGAAGGCCUUCGGGUUGUAAACUGCUUUUGUACGGAACGAAACGGUCUGCCCUAAUACGGUGGGCUAAUGACGGUACCGUAAGAAUAAGCACCGGCUAACUACGUGCCAGCAGCCGCGGUAAUACGUAGGGUGCGAGCGUUAAUCGGAAUUACUGGGCGUAAAGCGUGCGCAGGCGGUUAUGUAAGACAGAUGUGAAAUCCCCGGGCUCAACCUGGGACCUGCAUUUGUGACUGCAUAGCUAGAGUACGGUAGAGGGGGGAUGGAAUUCCGCGUGUAGCAGUGAAAUGCGUAGAUAUGCGGAGGAACACCGAUGGCGAAGGCAAUCCCCUGGACCUGUACUGACGCUCAUGCACGAAAGCGUGGGGAGCAAACAGGAUUAGAUACCCUGGUAGUCCACGCCCUAAACGAUGUCAACUGGUUGUUGGGUCUUCACUGACUCAGUAACGAAGCUAACGCGUGAAGUUGACCGCCUGGGGAGUACGGCCGCAAGGUUGAAACGUCAAAUGAAAUUGACGG
This 588-nucleotide ribosomal RNA is filed under the name uncultured bacterium. Its description in RNAcentral is "bacterial SSU rRNA". It matches the Rfam family "Bacterial small subunit ribosomal RNA", at positions 338 to 916 of the family's 1533-position model. The record is from RNAcentral.